AGUCGAGCGGUAACAGGAAUUAGCUUGCUAAUUUGCUGACGAGCGGCGGACGGGUGAGUAACGCGUAGGAAUCUGCCUGGUAGCGGGGGACAACAUGUGGAAACGCAUGCUAAUACCGCAUACGCCCUACGGGGGAAAGGAGGGGAUCUUCGGACCUUUCGCUAUCAGAUGAGCCUGCGUGAGAUUAGCUAGUUGGUGGGGUAAAGGCUCACCAAGGCGACGAUCUCUAGCUGGUCUGAGAGGAUGAUCAGCCACACUGGGACUGAGACACGGCCCAGACUCCUACGGGAGGCAGCAGUGGGGAAUAUUGGACAAUGGGGGCAACCCUGAUCCAGCCAUGCCGCGUGUGUGAAGAAGGCCUUAGGGUUGUAAAGCACUUUCAGAAGUGAGGAAGGGCGUGCAGUUAAUACCUGUAUGUCUUGACGUUAGCUUCAGAAGAAGCACCGGCUAACUCUGUGCCAGCAGCCGCGGUAAUACAGAAGGUGCGAGCGUUAAUCGGAAUUACUGGGCGUAAAGCGCGCGUAGGCGGUUUGUUAAGUCGGAUGUGAAAUCCCACGGCUCAACCUUGGAAUGGCACCCGAUACUGGCAGGCUAGAGUACGGUAGAGGGGUGUGGAAUUUCCUGUGUAGCGGUGAAAUGCGUAGAUAUAGGAAGGAACAUCA
Molecule: ribosomal RNA, 662 nt
Filed under: uncultured Marinomonas sp.
Lineage: Bacteria; Pseudomonadati; Pseudomonadota; Gammaproteobacteria; Oceanospirillales; Oceanospirillaceae
Description: bacterial SSU rRNA
Rfam family: Bacterial small subunit ribosomal RNA
Source: RNAcentral